UACAGAGGGGGCAAGCGUUGUUCGGAAUUACUGGGCGUAAAGGGCGCGUAGGCGGCCUUCUAAGUCAGACGUGAAAUCCCUCGGCUCAACCGGGGAACUGCGUCUGAGACUGAAAGGCUUGAAUCCGGGAGAGGGAUGUGGAAUUCCAGGUGUAGCGGUGAAAUGCGUAGAUAUCUGGAGGAACACCGGUGGCGAAGGCGGCAUCCUGGACCGGUAUUGACGUUGAGGCGCGAAAGCCAGGGGAGCAAACGGG
RNAcentral lists this ribosomal RNA (253 nucleotides) under uncultured bacterium. RNAcentral describes it as "partial 16S ribosomal RNA". It matches the Rfam family "Bacterial small subunit ribosomal RNA", at positions 524 to 776 of the family's 1533-position model. The record is from RNAcentral.